CGACCCUCUGGUUGUUCUUUUGCCCCUACUCAAAAACCCUAAACCCUUACAGACCCAUCUCGAUUCUCUUCUCUGCAACUAAUGAGUCUCUGCCCAGUGGUCUCUAGGGUUUUGCUUUGAGGUGCUUUGGCCUCUCUAUAUGCCAGAUCCAGGUACUUUCAAAGUCAUUCUUUUCUUGAACCAAUCUCUAUUUAAAUGGCUAAGCUUCAUUUCAAGAGUUUGCUUUGUUUGAUGCAAAAACGUUUCCUCACAACAUCGUCAACACUGUAUACAUCUUCGUUGUCUUCUUCAUCUUCAACAUUAUUAUCACCAUCGUACACAGCCCAAUUUCUUGUGAAAUCUUGUGGGCUUCCCUUGGACUCUGCCAUUUCCAUCUCUCAGAAGCUCAACCUCGAUGAAAACAAACGGCAAAAGCAUGAGUCUGUGCUCGAAUUCCUCAAAUCUCAUGGAUUCUCCGAUACCCAUGUUGCAAAACUUGUCUCAAAGUGUCCCCCGAUCCUCCAAGCCAGAGUAGAUAUGCUCAAGCUCAAAAUAGACUACCUCCAUGACAGUGGCUUUGUGGGUCCGGUCCUUCAUGAGCUAAUUGUGUCUAAUCCGGCCAUUUUGAGGCGAAGCUUGGAUAAACAGAUAAAACCGUCAUUUGAUUUUCUCAAGGAAUUCCUUGAAACCAAUGAGAAAAUUGCAGCAGCUAUUAAGCGCGAAUCAUGGUUGUUAACCUUCGAUCUGAAGAAAAUUUUGAAGCCAAACACUUUUCUUUUGAUAAAUGAAGGGGUCCCUCAUAGUAGAAUGUCAAAAUUGAUUACAUUACAGCCGAGAGUUAUAAUGCAGCAUGUUGAUAGGAUGGUGUAUGCCACAGAAAGGGCCAGAAGUUUGGGUAUCAAACCAACUGAUCCUAUAUAUGUAACUGCUAUUACAGUGAUUCUCUCAAUGACCGAAUCAACCUGGAAAAGGAAAGUGGAACUGUAUGAGAAAUUUGGUUUUACUGAAGUUGAGAUUCUCAAAGCUAUCAAGCGUCAACCACAUUUUAUGGCUUGUUCAGAGGAGAAAAUCAAGAGUUUAAUGAACUUUUAUACAAACACAAUGAAGUUGAAGCCAUCUGCAAUAGCUACUUAUCCUAGGCUUCUUUUGUAUUCAUUUGAUGCAAGGAUACGACCAAGGUUUAAUGUUUUGAACAUCUUGGCUUCAAAGAAGCUACUGAAGAAACACAAAAAGAUUGCAUGGUUGCUCACACAAAGCGAGGCUAGUUUCUUGACCAAUUAUGUGAUCAAGUACAUGGACCAAGUUCCAGAUUUAAUGGAGCUAUAUCGUGGGGUCAAGAAGAUUGAUCUCUGAUGACAUUGAACAUUGUGAAGGUUUACAAGAAGGACAAGAAAGAGCUGUCAUGCUAGGGAAUCAUCUUUGGUGGAGCUUAUUUUAGGGAAUCGAAGAAGAUGAUGCCAUUAUUUGUUGCCAUGGGCCUAGCCAUAUGUUUGGCUAGAGUCUUCUUCAGCUAAUGAUGCCCUGAUCCCAAAGUGGUUGGAGAAUUUUCUACAUAAGUGCUUCUAUCCAUAUGGAGAAUUUUCUGUUACCUAGUAGAACAAUUUUACUUUGAAGCACUGCAUAUAUGGAUUCAACAUCUCUGGUUUCCGUUCCUGGCUUUAAAUGUGUGAGAGCAAGGUCAAUUAAUUACUCCUCAUAAACAUUUAAAAUCUUUGACAGUUUCACCCUUCCAAUUCUCAUAAAAAAUGUCCAAUUAGGCUCAGGGUAUAUAUUCAAGUUUUCUUUUCUUCAGUGCUACUGCUAGCCGUGCUCCUUGUACAUUCUUUGUGUAUUAGGGUUUCCCUCUUCUUCUCUGUGGGUUUUGUAAAAAUCUAUCAUUUUCCUAUCAAAGAAGGAUCAUCUAAGAUAUAAAAUUCUUGUUUUCUUCUUUAAAGGUUAUUAUGCAUUUUGAAUAAAAGGAUUUGAAGCUUUUUCAUUGUGUAAAUUCUAAAGUUAUGAAAAAUUGAUAUCUAUAGAAAUUUAUGAUACGUUUCUUGAUUAGGCUACAUAUGGUUGGUUGGAUAGGAUAAGAUAAGAUAUGUAUAUCUUAAAUAUUUUUAAAGGAUAUUAUAUUUGAUGG
Molecule: RNA transcript, 2098 nt
Organism: Vitis riparia (riverbank grape)
Lineage: Eukaryota; Viridiplantae; Streptophyta; Magnoliopsida; Vitales; Vitaceae
Exons: 3
Source: RefSeq, a predicted model, not a curated record